Molecule: small nucleolar RNA, 123 nt
Filed under: Echinops telfairi (small Madagascar hedgehog)
Lineage: Eukaryota; Metazoa; Chordata; Mammalia; Afrosoricida; Tenrecidae
Description: Small nucleolar RNA SNORA61 (ENSETEG00000024272.1)
Source: RNAcentral
ACCCUCCAAAUUUCUUACCCAUCAGAACUGAACACUGGUCUGAGUGGUUAUGAAAGAAGGAAAAUUUGUAAACUUCACACUGACUUACAUUAUGUCUGACACACAAGCUACUUUCAAAUAGAC